CCAACAGCAGCAGGACAGGGAGGGAGAAUACGAGAGAAUUGGACAUUGCUAUACUCCGUAUUGAUAAUAAAAUACAAUAUGUAAAAAGAGUAAAAGAAAGAAGCAUCCAACAAGAGAUAGAUACCCACUGACAUCGACAAGAGAAAGAAAGAGACACGCGAAUCAAUCACAUGCAGCUAUGCAAACUGGGAAAUCAGAAAUCAGAAAUCAGAAAUGGAAAUAUGGAAAUCUGGAAACAGAGGAAUGAAAAGAAGUAAAGACAGGUAAUGGAGACAGGAAAAGUAGAGAGGGUCUAUCUGUGAUAUUAAAUUAUGUUCACCCAAUCUCCUUCCUUCCUUCUUGCCCUACUCUGUGCCUGUGCCUGCUUUUUGUCUUUUGUUGUCCCUCCAAACCAAUGAAUGAUCCGCGAAUAACAAUCCCAUCCCGCCCCUUCCCAUCGAUUGCAUAAUACAUCAUUUAAAAAAAAUAAAAUACUCCUUGGGGGAAUAUUGGGAUAUUUCCCGUGCCGGCUGCCCGUUGCUGCUGCUGCUGCUGCUGCUGCUGCUGCUGGUGAUAAUAAGAUAAGAGGAACAGCUAAUUCCUGAGGGCGACAGGCGACGAGCGGCAGGGGGUGGGUGGAGGUUUAAUAUAUAAAUAAGUAAAAAAACAAGGAAAGAAAAAAAAAAAACCCCUUGGUCUCAAACCAUGUAAGUAGAAAAGAAAAGAAAAAGGGGGGGAAAAAUGAAAAUAGAGGAAAAAGCCGUAGCUUCCGCCAUAAUAAUCACCCCCAUCUC
RNAcentral lists this small RNA (773 nucleotides) under Histoplasma ohiense. Its description in RNAcentral is "hypothetical lncRNA". Lineage: Eukaryota; Fungi; Ascomycota; Eurotiomycetes; Onygenales; Ajellomycetaceae. The record is from RNAcentral.